Molecule: ribosomal RNA, 449 nt
Filed under: uncultured bacterium
Lineage: Bacteria
Description: partial 16S ribosomal RNA
Rfam family: Bacterial small subunit ribosomal RNA
Source: RNAcentral
AACGAACGCUGGCGGCAUGCCUAACACAUGCAAGUCGAACGAACCCUUCGGGGUUAGUGGCGCACGGGUGCGUAACGCGUGGGAAUCUGCCCUUGGCUUCGGAAUAACAGUUAGAAAUGACUGCUAAUACCGGAUGAUGUCUUCGGACCAAAGAUUUAUCGGCCAGGGAUGAGCCCGCGUAGGAUUAGGUAGUUGGUGGGGUAAAGGCCUACCAAGCCGACGAUCCUUAGCUGGUCUGAGGGGAUGAUCAGCCACACUGGGACUGAGACACGGCCCAGACUCCUACGGGAGGCAGCAGUGGGGAAUAUUGGACAAUGGGCGCAAGCCUGAUCCAGCAAUGCCGCGUGAGUGAUGAAGGCCUUAGGGUCGUAAAGCUCUUUUACCCGGGAUGAUAAUGACAGUACCGGGAGAAUAAGCUCCAGCUAACUCCGUGCCAGCCGCCGCAGUAA